CCUACGGGUGGCUGCAGUGGGGAAUAUUGCACAAUGGGCGCAAGCCUGAUGCAGCCAUGCCGCGUGUGUGAAGAAGGCCUUCGGGUUGUAAAGCACUUUCAGCGGGGAGGAAGGCGUUAAGGUUAAUAACCUUGGCGAUUGACGUUACCCGCAGAAGAAGCACCGGCUAACUCCGUGCCAGCAGCCGCGGUAAUACGGAGGGUGCAAGCGUUAAUCGGAAUUACUGGGCGUAAAGCGCACGCAGGCGGUCUGUCAAGUCGGAUGUGAAAUCCCCGGGCUCAACCUGGGAACUGCAUUCGAAACUGGCAGGCUAGAGGCUUGUAGAGGGGGGUAGAAUGCCAGGUGUAGCGGUGAAAUGCGUAGAGAUCUGGAGGAAUACCGGUGGCGAAGGCGGCCCCCUGGACAAAGACUGACGCUCAGGUGCGAAAGCGUGGGGAGCAAACAGGAUUAGAUACCCGAGUAGUC
This 465-nucleotide ribosomal RNA is filed under the name uncultured Klebsiella sp. Its description in RNAcentral is "bacterial SSU rRNA". It matches the Rfam family "Bacterial small subunit ribosomal RNA", at positions 338 to 795 of the family's 1533-position model. Lineage: Bacteria; Pseudomonadati; Pseudomonadota; Gammaproteobacteria; Enterobacterales; Enterobacteriaceae. The record is from RNAcentral.